Xenopus laevis (African clawed frog) is the source of this 710-nucleotide long non-coding RNA. RefSeq lists it as uncharacterized. The transcript has 2 exons. The record is from RefSeq and is a predicted model, not a curated record. Lineage: Eukaryota; Metazoa; Chordata; Amphibia; Anura; Pipidae.
GAAUCCUAGGUGUGUGGGCGCUCAGAGCGAGAGAGAGAAGGUUAGGAGUGUGCGCUCCAGAGAGAGAAGCCUAGGCGUGUGCGCUCAGGUGUGUGCGCUCAGGCGUGUGCGCCCCAGGGAGAGAAGCCUAGGAGUGUGCGCUCCAGAGAGCGCACACUCAGGUGUGUGCGCCCCAGAGAGAGAAGCCUAGGCGUGUGCGCUCAGGUGUGUGCGCCCCAGGGAGAGAAGCCUAGGAGUGUGCGCUCCAGAGAGCGCACACUCAGGUGUGUGCGCCCCAGAGAGAGAAGCCUAGGCGUGUGCGCUCCAGCGACCGCACACUCAGGUGCGUGCGCCCCAGGGAGAGAAGCCUAGGAGUGUGCGCUCCAGAGCGAGAAACCUAGGAAUGUGCGCUCCAGAGAGAGAGAAGCCUUGGAGUGUGCGCUCCAGAUAGAGAAAAGCCUAGGAGUGUGCGCUCCAGAGAGAGAGAGAAGCCAAGGAGUGUGCGCUACAGAGAGAGAGAAAAGCCUAGGAGUGUGCUCUACAGAGAGAGAGAGAGAGAAAGAGAAGCCUAGGAGUGUGCGCUACAUAGUAAUGAAAUAAAGUGCCGGGCAAUAUUCCCCUGCCUUACAACUCGCCGAAUGUUUGGGGGCUCAAGAGAGACUGGCAAUGAAUGAACAUAACAUAAAAUAUAGACAAUCAUUAUAAAGCUACACGGACAGAAGCGGAUAGAA